GAAUGUAACCAUUUUCAAUGAUUUAAAAUACAUGUUUACGUUCAUGAUCACAAUUGACCAGAAACACAAUACUAGCUGGUUGAGUCAUUGAUAAUUGUUCAACUCACUCAGACCUCAGGCGUGUGCCAGGGAUCACAUUGUUCUAACAGUAUGUUGGUUAGGUUUAUAAUCAUACCUGUCCGCUCCCUUUUCGCCAACAUCUUCUGAGAAAUUGCUCCGCUGCUGGCCCGUCUCUCCGCAUGCCUGCCUGACUUCCUUCUCAAUUAUAUGGCUGCUCUUUGGGCGUUUAUUUGUCUAAAGUUCAUGUACAGUAUGCAUACAAAUUUUCUCCGAGGGGAACAAACACGGCUCAGCGGAGCGUGGCGGCUAACCACGCAGGCAGCAGGAAAGGAGAUGGAGGGGAAACAGAUCAGAGGCUUAGUCGCAGUUUUCCUUCAAGGCGAACCUGAGGGUUGCCUCAAACACCUUUGUAUCAUAAGCCAGCACGCCUGGCUCAACUCUCUGCAGUUAACGUAGUUUCCUUAACGAGAUACGCACUGUAGUUACAUACAGAGCCGCACAGAUGAUCAAGGUUGGGCCGACUGGCAAGGGUGCCACGGAACAUGCACAGAAAUAUGCUCAACAUUUGACAGCUGAUGUGUGCCAAAUAGGACGAGCAGACUGUAAAGUGUCGACAUGCAGCUACGGUGACGAAGCGGAGGAGCAAAUGUUUCUGGUUUGGAAGUGGCAAGCAGACGACGUGUGGGAGCAUGAGGGGGAUUGGAGUCAGGUUGCCUCACCUGAAGAGGCACCGCGUGAAGAAACAGGGGAGUGCAUGCUGGGUAAUGCAAUUAGGUUACCAUGCAAGGAAAUGACACACAUUGGCUCAGAACUGAAGAGAUGAAUCAACGAGAUGAAUCAGAAAAGGGAUCCCACCAUGCAACGGUAUUUGCUUGUCAUUGGUGUAGUUAACAAGAGGAUGUUAAGUGCCUCCCUCAUCGCCAUGGAGAUCUAAAGAAUGUGCUUGUGGUCAUGGUGACGAGGGCUGGCUGGGGAAAAGGAUAUGGCGGUUUCCUGCACCUUAGACAAACACACCCCCGCUCCGGUGCUAAAUGGCCGGGGUCAGACAGUCAAAACAUAAUUAUCACCCGAUCGCCUGUUGACCUGCUUACCUGACAUUAACCUUGGUCUGCACUAACGGGAGGUGCCGGUUGCCUCAGGGGGGCCAGAUGCUAAUUUGAAGCAGAGUUAGCAGUGAGAGGGCUGGGGGGGUAAUUGCAGCGAUCUAAUAGGGAUCAGUGCCGUGGGAGAUCUCCGUACAUCUGUCGUCUGGCGAAGAACCGCUGCACCUGAGACUCACCAGCUUGGCAGUGCUCACGCUCCACUGUGGGAUUUCAAGAGAGAUGAAGGGUUUCACGGUGAGACUACUGGCAGUCGUGCGGUUCCGUGUUUGAAGAACCUGUCACCUGUCCCGGAUAGACUGAAAAGACAAACACUUAUAUGGGCACUCUACAGGCAAUGAGACAAAGGAGCAUUUAAAUCUUUUUCCACAAUGCCAAUUUUGAACUUCUAAAAUCACACAAAUACAAAGAUAUCCCAAUAUUGAAAUAUUUUCUUCUUCUUGAGCAACUUGAAUGUAAUGUAAAUCGGAAAUUGUUGUCCCCAUAUGCAAAGACAAACCUCCCAAGCACAGCUGGGGAGAACAAAGAUGUAUUUUUGUUAUCGUGUCGCUUUUGUUUCACUACUCAUCAAAAGUCAUAAAUACACUAUUAAUUGUGUUGAUCUUGUACCAGUAACUUUUUUAACCCUUGUUUGACAGUUGGGAAAAUCAACGUGUUACUUAAUCAGCUCCAGAUUUCAACUAGGACAGUUUUAAACAUUUUCAAAUAAUUUCAUAUGGGGAGAAAUGUGCAAUAUAUCCUGUUUAUGGAGUGUUUGGGUUUCAUGCAAAACAUUCCAAGUAAAAUGUAAGAAAAGAAAAACUUCUCAAAAAAAA
Molecule: long non-coding RNA, 1975 nt
Organism: Hippocampus comes (tiger tail seahorse)
Lineage: Eukaryota; Metazoa; Chordata; Actinopteri; Syngnathiformes; Syngnathidae
Exons: 2
Source: RefSeq, a predicted model, not a curated record